CCAGAACAGACAACCAAUAGGAAAGGGAAGAAAUCUAAUUCUUUGAUGAAAUCAGAAGAACCAUCUGACAGUUCUCAAAUUGAUAGCGAGAAGGAAACUGAGGCUGUGUUGGAUCAUAAAAGUGAUGACAAGGAGAAUCCUAGUUCACCUCAUGAGGAGCCAACUGCUGAGGGGGCUGUGUCUGCCCAAAAUGAAAAGGAGACUGGUGUUCAGGUUUCUUCUCCUAAAGCAACAGAAAGUGGAUCCAUGGAUGUUGCUCCUUCGUCUCCAAGCGGGAGUGUCCCAAAUGAAAGUCGUUCCCAAAGGCAUGGCCGUUCAAAGAAAAAGGACCUCGUGCUUACAGAGGGCACACCAUCUGCUGAUGAUUUUUCCAAAAAGGCGUCUGAAGGAACUAGUGAUUCAGAAGCGAAACCACCUAAACGCUCUGGGAAAAAGGUGCCUGCUGGGUCUGCUAAUGAGGAUAAAAUUCCCGUUGCAGAUAUAUCAAAGAAAGAAAGCG
RNAcentral lists this long non-coding RNA (499 nucleotides) under Citrus sinensis (sweet orange). RNAcentral describes it as "long non-coding RNA (CSIN_LNC002823)". The record is from RNAcentral. Lineage: Eukaryota; Viridiplantae; Streptophyta; Magnoliopsida; Sapindales; Rutaceae.